CGCUCUUCCCAUCUAGGUUACCAGAAAUUCUUGGACUUUGUUUUCCAGAGAAACUUACAAUAUAAUAGACAAAGGAGGCUAAUUCCACGCCACCAUAGGUCUUCAGUCAUUUU
Non-coding RNA from Vicugna pacos (alpaca), 113 nucleotides. The record is from RefSeq and is a predicted model, not a curated record. Lineage: Eukaryota; Metazoa; Chordata; Mammalia; Artiodactyla; Camelidae.